Long non-coding RNA from Solanum tuberosum (potato), 184 nucleotides. RefSeq lists it as uncharacterized. NCBI's taxonomy places the organism in Eukaryota, Viridiplantae, Streptophyta, Magnoliopsida, Solanales, Solanaceae. The record is from RefSeq and is a predicted model, not a curated record. The transcript has 3 exons.
CUUUGCUCGACGAAAUUCUUGAAAUCUUAUUUUGGUGGUGAAGUAGUCUCCAAGCUGGUCACUGUCUGGUCGCUGCCCAGAGAAAGGUAUACCAUCCGGUGUAUGUGAAGCUCGAAGAAAGACAUAGACAUCCGGCACUACUGUUCUACCCUAAUCAGAGGAUCUGGUUGAUAUUCACUGGAAG